This is a non-coding RNA of Phrynosoma platyrhinos (Desert horned lizard), 73 nucleotides long. The record is from the annotation of a GenBank genome assembly. NCBI's taxonomy places the organism in Eukaryota, Metazoa, Chordata, Lepidosauria, Squamata, Phrynosomatidae.
GCCAGCGUGGCAUAGUGGUUUGGGCAUUGGAGACUACGGCUCUGAGACCAGGGUUCGAAUCCCAGCUCAGCCA